UUCGCUUGACCAAGGUACUAGCAUAACUAACACAUUCCUAGUAUUGGUAAUUGGUAAUUUAGCACAAAGCAGGAACCAUUUAUGAUAACCACCAAGCCUCUGAUAAUAUAUCAAAUUAGUAAAUUACACUGUAACACAAGCAAGGGUUAAUUGAUCCAACAAUCCUCACCUGAAAAGUAUUAAGGAAAAAAAGAGCACAUGGGACAUAGCACAAAGCAGGAAAUAUAUCAAAUUAGUAAAUUACACUGUAACACAAGCAAGGGUUAAUUGAUCCAACAAUCCUCACCUGAAACUUUUAUAAAUUGGAAUAGAAGUAUUUAAGGAAAGAAAAAGAGCACAUGGGACAUGAAUAAGGAAUCUUCCUAAAACA
This 370-nucleotide long non-coding RNA is filed under the name Lathyrus oleraceus (garden pea). Its description in RNAcentral is "Pisum sativum (pea) long non-coding RNA (PSAT_LNC029515)". Lineage: Eukaryota; Viridiplantae; Streptophyta; Magnoliopsida; Fabales; Fabaceae. The record is from RNAcentral.